Molecule: small nuclear RNA, 108 nt
Filed under: Canis lupus dingo (dingo)
Lineage: Eukaryota; Metazoa; Chordata; Mammalia; Carnivora; Canidae
Source: RNAcentral
CUGCUCGCUUUCAGCAGCAAAUAUACUAAAAUUGGAAUGAUACAAAGAAGAUUAGCAUGGCCCCUGCACAAGGAUGACAAAAAAAAAAAAAAAGCCAUUCUUAUAUCU